AAGCUCACCAGAGCAGCCGGCUGUGAGCCGCGCACCGCCAGCCGGACAGCAGCACCGGCUGGGGAGAACCGCUCGGAACGAAGUCAGAACGCAGCGGCACCGUCGGGGCGGUGACUCCUGGCCCUCCCUGCCCUCCCGUAGCCUCGGCUGCCGGCUGAGCCCCGAGCGCGGGGCAGCCUCACCUCCCGGGAAGCGACUUACCUUGAUGUCCCACUCCUUCAGCACAGCACCCGGCCGAGGCAGCGAGCAGCAUGUGCGAGCCUCCCGAGUGGGAGAUCUUUUUCCUCUGCUCUUCCAAUGGUAGUGCUUCCGCCAGGAGGGGAUGCCAGCGGUUGGAUGCUACGCAUUCCCCACGGGACACGCCGAGCAGCGGCACAGACGUCGCUGGGGAUCUAAUACAGAGACCGCCUGCAGAUUACAUCGUGUUGCCUUCUUGGGCUGCCGCAGGGAUCAUCUGAGAGGAUGAUUCGGGCACCUUUCAUCAGCUCUGUUAGUUUGACAACCCUUUGCAAGUCCAGAUGGACCAAUAAAGUGGAGAAGAAAAUCUUGUUCAAUUUUUGCUGCUCUGCUGAAAGCAGAAUGAAGCGGUGCUUCCACCUCCGCCCCGCAGCUGAGCCCUGAUGGGCCUGCCUCAGCCACACGGGCUGCCAGCUCCCCUCGGCGGCCCUGCGCUCACAUGGGAAAGAGGCAGGAAGAAAACUGACGCUGCUCACUUGUCUUCAUCUGCAGCCAUUCCCUCUCUUCAAAAGGACAAGCAAUCU
Molecule: long non-coding RNA, 761 nt
Filed under: Gallus gallus (chicken)
Lineage: Eukaryota; Metazoa; Chordata; Aves; Galliformes; Phasianidae
Description: long non-coding RNA NONGGAT007220
Source: RNAcentral